AGCAGUUGGUAUCUCAGUGGUAGAGUAGAUGCUCUGUGUGUAUGAUGUCCUGGGUUUAAUCCCCAGGUUGCCG
Molecule: transfer RNA, 73 nt
Filed under: Dallia pectoralis (Alaska blackfish)
Lineage: Eukaryota; Metazoa; Chordata; Actinopteri; Esociformes; Umbridae
Description: tRNA-OTHER
Source: RNAcentral